Haemorhous mexicanus (house finch) is the source of this 1293-nucleotide long non-coding RNA. RefSeq lists it as uncharacterized. The record is from RefSeq and is a predicted model, not a curated record. Lineage: Eukaryota; Metazoa; Chordata; Aves; Passeriformes; Fringillidae. The transcript has 2 exons.
AUUCCGGCUCCUGCUCCUCCUCUUCCUCUCCCCUUGCGCCGCCGUCAGCGUCCCCCGCUCCGCCUGCGGGCCGGGGUCUCUGGGGGGACGGAACGGGACCCGGUAAGAAGAGAGAAGAUGUUAGAGUAGAGGGGUGUUCCAGCAGAGGGGAAAGGCCAAGUGCCCUUUCCAGAAAGGCAUUCCAGAGCGGAGCUGGACAGGAACAGCUCGGGCACUCCGUUGGAAAGCCGCUUUGCAUCAUCCUGUGCUGAUUCCUGUCUACCUCUCACCCAGCUCCGGGCUCUGGAAAUUCUCUUCUUCCAUUUGCAUUCAACACCCACCAGCACUGGCAUACAGGAAUAGCGUUACAAGUGUGAGGAAUGUGGUAAAAGGGUUCAAAGCCUCUCAGAUCUCAUGAAACAUCAGUGGACACACUCGGGAAAAUCUCUCCCCAGCCCGCCCUCCUGUCAGGCCACACCAUGAUCUGAGAAAUACUUGUGUAGGCCUUGGCCUUGAGAAGCAGCCCCUAGGCUCAGCUCCUCUUGAGUUUAUCACCAACACUGGCUGUUCCAGGGACUGCUGCUGUCCAACAAGCUCCAACAGCCUUAGAAUUUUUUUUUUUUUUUGCCUGAAUAACAUCCCAAAUGGGAUCAUAUUUUAGUUCUCAACCUUUCCCAGAAAGUCACCGGCCUGAGCUUGGGCCAGGAUGGAAAAUGUCUGUGACUAAAGCCCAUCCCUUGGGCCCUAUAAACAGCAGCCCUGAGUGAGACCCUUGAGUUACGGUACAAGCUGGGCAGUUUCACCCAGUCACAUUCCACCCUAAGCUGCAGACAUCUCACUGGUCAGAGAACUGAGAGGUGGUAGGAUCAGACCAAUGAGCUGUUUAGACUGGGGCAUUUUCAAACCCCCUCUAUAAAGCUGGGUUCAAACAAUAAAGCUCUCUCUAUUAUUGCCACUUGCAACUCCAAAGUGUGUCUCUGUCUCUGACCACCGACUCCACGUUACACCCUUGGAACUCUCCUGAACUGCAGCAGCUGCGACAGUGACCUCCCUGUGCUGGGGCCUCUGUGAAUCCACUGGAUUCCAGGGGAAUUUCCCUCAGGGACCUUGUACAGACUGCUUCUGUCCAUACGUGUGUGACGCUGCAUAUGCCGUAGCAAAUGUCCUGGGAGUGCUGCUUUCCUGGAGUCAGAAAUACUUACAAUAUGUCAGAUUAAAAUAUGUCAGUACUUAAAAUAAGUCAGAUAUGUUCCUGUUGUGGUGUAAUAAAUUCUAUGUGAAGUUACUGAUUAAAUUUCAAUGAAGUGCUGUUAA